RNAcentral lists this ribosomal RNA (587 nucleotides) under uncultured bacterium. RNAcentral describes it as "partial 16S ribosomal RNA". It matches the Rfam family "Bacterial small subunit ribosomal RNA", at positions 355 to 1375 of the family's 1533-position model. The record is from RNAcentral.
UGGGGAAUAUUGCACAAUGGGCGCAAGCCUGAUGCAGCCAUGCCGCGUGUGUGAAGAAGGCCUUCGGGUUGUAAAGCACUUUCAGCGAGGAGGAAGGUGGUGAGCUUAAUACGCUCAUCAAUUGACGUUACUCGCAGAAGAAGCACCGGCUAACUCCGUGCCAGCAGCCGCGGUAAUACGGAGGGUGCAAGCGUUAAUCGGAAUUACUGGGCGUAAAGCGCACGCAGGCGGUUUGUUAAGUCAGAUGUGAAAUCCCCGGGCUCAACCUGGGAACUGCAUUUGAAACUGGCAAGCUAGAGUCUCGUAGAGGGGGGUAGAAUUCCAGGUGUAGCGGUGAAAUGCGUAGAGAUCUGGAGGAAUACCGGUGGCGAAGGCGGCCCCCUGGACGAAGACUGACGCUCAGGUGCGAAAGCGUGGGGCAGCAAACAGGAUUAGAUACCCUAGUAGUCCAGCGCUGUAAACGAUGUCGAUUUGGAGGUUGUGCCCUUGAGGCGUGGCUCCGGAGCUAACGCGUUAAAUCGACCGCCUGGGGAGUACGGCCGCAAGGUUAAAACUCAAAUGAAUUGACGGGGUCAUAGCUGUUUCCU